Molecule: ribosomal RNA, 433 nt
Filed under: uncultured bacterium
Lineage: Bacteria
Description: partial 16S ribosomal RNA
Rfam family: Bacterial small subunit ribosomal RNA
Source: RNAcentral
AACGAACGCUGGCGGCAUGCCUAACACAUGCAAGUCGAACGAGACCUUCGGGUCUAGUGGCGCACGGGUGCGUAACGCGUGGGAACCUGCCCUUAGGUUCGGAAUAACUCCCCGAAAGGGGUGCUAAUACCGGAUAAUGUCUUCGGACCAAAGAUUUAUCGCCUUUGGAUGGGCCCGCGUUGGAUUAGCUAGUUGGUAGGGUAAAAACCUACCAAGGCGACGAUCCAUAGCUGGUCUGAGAGGAUGAUCAGCCACACUGGGACUGAGACACGGCCCAGACUCCUACGGGGGGCAGCAGUGGGGAAUAUUGGACAAUGGGCGAAAGCCUGAUCCAGCAAUGCCGCGUGAGUGAUGAAGGCCUUAGGGUUGUAAAGCUCUUUUACCCGGGAUGAUAAUGACAGUACCGGGAGAAUAAGCUCCGGCUAACUCCGUG